Molecule: ribosomal RNA, 259 nt
Filed under: uncultured bacterium
Lineage: Bacteria
Description: partial 16S ribosomal RNA
Rfam family: Bacterial small subunit ribosomal RNA
Source: RNAcentral
UACGUAGGGGGCUAGCGUUGUCCGGAAUCAUUGGGCGUAAAGCGCGUGUAGGCGGUCCGGUAAGUCCGCUGUGAAAGUCGGGGGCUCAACCCUCGAAUGCCGGUGGAUACUGUCGGGCUAGAGUGCGGAAGAGGCGGAGUGGAAUUCCUGGGUGUAGCGGUGAAAUGACGCAGAUAUCAGGAGGAACACCAAUUGCGAAGGCAGCUCGCUGGGACGUAACUGACGCGUGAGAACGCGGAAAGCGUGGGGAGCAAACAGG